GCAGUGAUGGUUCAGUAGGAGAAUUCUCACCUUCCAUGCGGGAGACCUAGGUUCGACGCCCAGCCAAUGCA
This 71-nucleotide transfer RNA is filed under the name Loxodonta africana (African savanna elephant). It matches the Rfam family "tRNA". Rfam says of the family: Transfer RNA (tRNA) molecules are approximately 80 nucleotides in length. Their secondary structure includes four short double-helical elements and three loops (D, anti-codon, and T loops). Lineage: Eukaryota; Metazoa; Chordata; Mammalia; Proboscidea; Elephantidae. The record is from Rfam by way of RNAcentral.